RNAcentral lists this ribosomal RNA (301 nucleotides) under uncultured bacterium. RNAcentral's name for it is "partial 16S ribosomal RNA". It matches the Rfam family "Bacterial small subunit ribosomal RNA", at positions 509 to 807 of the family's 1533-position model. The record is from RNAcentral.
CAGUCGCCGCGGUAAUACGUAGGGUGCAAGCGUUAAUCGGAAUUACUGGGCGUAAAGCGUGCGCAGGCGGUUAUAUAAGACAGAUGUGAAAUCCCCGGGCUCAACCUGGGAACUGCAUUUGUGACUGUAUAGCUAGAGUACGGCAGAGGGGGAUGGAAUUCCGCGUGUAGCAGUGAAAUGCGUAGAUAUGCGGAGGAACACCGAUGGCGAAGGCAAUCCCCUGGGCCUGUACUGACGCUCAUGCACGAAAGCGUGGGGAGCAAACAGGAUUAGAUACCCCCGUAGUCCCUGUCUCUUAUAC